CCUACGGGGGGCAGCAGUGGGGAAUAUUGCACAAUGGGGGAAACCCUGCCCCAGCAACGCCGCGUGAAUGAUGAAGGUCUUCGGAUUGUAAAGUUCUUUUCUAAGUGAAGAAGAAAGUGACGGUACCUUAGGAAUAAGCCUCGGCUAACUACGGGCCAGCAGCCGCGGUAAUACGUAGGAGGCGAGCGUUAUCCGGAAUGACUGGGCGGAAAGGGUGCGUAGGUGGUUUGGCAAGUUAGUAGCGUAACUCCAAGGCUCAACCUUGGCACUACUACUAAAACUGUUGGACUUGAGUGCAGGAGGGGCAACCGGAAUUCCUAGGGUAGCGGUGGAAUGCGUAGAUAUUAGGAGGAGCAACAGUGGCGAAGGCGGGUUGCUAGACUGUAACUGACACUGAGGCACGAAAGCGUGGGGAGCAAACAGGAUUAGAUACCCCUGUAGUC
This 443-nucleotide ribosomal RNA is filed under the name uncultured bacterium. Its description in RNAcentral is "partial 16S ribosomal RNA". It matches the Rfam family "Bacterial small subunit ribosomal RNA", at positions 338 to 795 of the family's 1533-position model. The record is from RNAcentral.